CCCCUGGUCUGGUCAUGGAUCUUAUGAACGGCCGCCCUGGACCGGUGCCGAUGGACAUUGCACAGGAAGCGGCGGCUAUGCGCGCCAUGGGUAUGACCCCGGACCAGAUCUCCGACACUCUGGGAGACAAGAUGCAGCUGCGCCAAAGCAUGCCGUUGGGGGGCGCUUUAAUGUAGGCCGCGCUCGGAGCGCAAGCGGGCGCUCAAUUCCCGGGCCUUGGUGGACUCGGCAGACCAUUUUAAACACAGACCAACCAAACUUACAACGAGGCUUUCUUUUCAAAAUGCAAAAAGCAGACCAAUACUUGAGAUUUGGACUACACAUUUAUGUUUUCGCGUUGAUGUCAAUAUUAGUUUAUACAGACAGUGUAUUUUGCGCAACUUUUUGCAUUUAUUUAUAUUAAUAAAUUUCAUAUGAUAUUCAAUAUGUUUCUAUUGUUAAACAUGUACAGUUAAAAGGAAAUGAACAUUAUGAAAAUAUCACAAAGUGUGUAACGUUCUUUUUUAAAUUCAUGCUUGUGUAGCUAACAAAACAUAAAAUAACAUCAAAAAUGCUUUACGAGUUUUAUUUGCUGAUAUGUGCAUUUAUUAAGAAGUCAUAAUUGUCUAUCACACUAUGUUGUAAAGAAUGAGUCAUGAAAUGACACGCAUGGUGCGGCAACGUUACUUCUAACCGUUAGUUUUUAGAGUAUGAUAGAAGAUAUAUAAUUCAAUUCUUAAUUGUUCUACGAUGUUGAUUCACCCGCGCUUGCUCACCCAUGGCGUCAUCUCAACAUAACGAAACUAUAUUAUAGUGACAAUUGUUUUAUUAAAAAUUGAGCGAGUUC
Dreissena polymorpha is the source of this 826-nucleotide long non-coding RNA. RefSeq lists it as uncharacterized. NCBI's taxonomy places the organism in Eukaryota, Metazoa, Mollusca, Bivalvia, Myida, Dreissenidae. The transcript has 2 exons. The record is from RefSeq and is a predicted model, not a curated record.